UGCGAUCAUAAUGAGGAUAACCAAGCUCCCUCUUCUGAUAUCUGUGAGGAAGUUGCUGGCAGAAUCGAACCAUUAACUUAAUAUUUCCAUUCCUGAAUGA
Molecule: small nucleolar RNA, 100 nt
Filed under: Nicotiana sylvestris (wood tobacco)
Lineage: Eukaryota; Viridiplantae; Streptophyta; Magnoliopsida; Solanales; Solanaceae
Description: Small nucleolar RNA R30/Z108
Rfam family: Small nucleolar RNA R30/Z108
About the family: snoR30 is a C/D box small nucleolar RNA which acts as a methylation guide for 18S ribosomal RNA in plants.
Source: Rfam by way of RNAcentral